Molecule: long non-coding RNA, 369 nt
Filed under: Ananas comosus (pineapple)
Lineage: Eukaryota; Viridiplantae; Streptophyta; Magnoliopsida; Poales; Bromeliaceae
Description: long non-coding RNA (ACOM_LNC002760)
Source: RNAcentral
AAGGAUAUAUAUUUAAAAAAUCAUUAUAUAUAAUAAUAAUCUUUCUUAGAUACCAAAUUAACGGUUGUUCUUAAUUUUUUUAGGCUUCGUUUGGAAUUGCGGGAAAAUUACUGAGAAAGUACGUUGGAAAAAUACCAUAUUUGUUUCCGUGUGUAAUAUUGCGUUCCGCAUAUAGCGAUGAGUCGGUUACGGUAUAUUUUCUGCGGUCCCAUCGGAGAACGCAGAAGCAUAUCUCUAUAUGUUUUUUUCUCAACUCUAUUUUAUCUAAUAAGAUAGAUCUCAAUACCAAACUAAGCGUAUAAAACAUGAGUAAUAUGCUUUUAAAUUCUUUGAUACAUAAAUAAAAUAAUAAAUAAUAAUAAUUUUUUU